Long non-coding RNA from Pogona vitticeps (central bearded dragon), 1741 nucleotides. NCBI's taxonomy places the organism in Eukaryota, Metazoa, Chordata, Lepidosauria, Squamata, Agamidae. The record is from Ensembl.
CAGCCACACAAUGUACAUAACUCUGAGGCUCUCCUUUUGCAGCUAGUUUGCCCUGGCCAGUGUCUCCGGCAUGACGGUUGUUUCAAUCAUUAUCUAUCCUGGCCGGCCACGGCUUUGCCAGGGAACCUGUUUUUUUUGGUUUUUAUUUUCUGCUGAUUUUAUUUAUUUUUGGCCGCCUCAGCAGCGGCAGCAGCAGGAUGUCUUUCAUGAUCAGGCUUGCCGAGAGAGAGAGAGGCCAGGGGAGAUCUCGCCAAAACAAAAGGAAGCUGUGCUAUUGACGGGUCUGAAAUGUGCAGACCGCUGCAUAAUGCCAGCUCGCUGGAGUACGCAGGGUGUUUUUGUUUUUUUUCCAGAAGUAGGGCAUGGCUGUAAUUCAACCUGUCACCCAACCCCAAAAAAAGAGAGAAGGGGGGGCAUAAUGAAAAGACUGCUCUUUCUUUCUUUCUUUUUUCAAAACACAUUGGCCUUUUCUUUCUAGGCGGGGCACUGAAGGGUUAAGCACGGGCAGGGGGUGGUGGAACUGGUGGGUUGAUGUUACGAGAUACCCAGACCCGGCUGGCACUCUGGCUCCUUGGGCACAUGAGAAUUCAUCCCGCAUGCCUCCUGCCAUCCGGUUUCUCUCUGCUCAGAACCUACACCCACGACCCCUGCCAGAUCUUCACAUUCAGCGAUUUCUUUCUCAGGUUUCCGCGAGCCACUGACAGCCCGAGCUAUUUUUUUCCGGGGGGGGGGACCUUUUCUCUCCUGACUGCGGAUGCAGCUGAAGGAAAACGCAGCCGGCAUGCUAAAGAACUGCAGCUAUCUGCCAUGCACCUUGUGCUCUUUCCUCUUCAUGUCCCCGUUCUCCUGCACCGACCCCAUCAAGGACAACCUCUCCUGCAGGCAGAACCCCCAGAGCCUGGCCCGUGGGACCGAGGGCACCCAGACCCGGAUCGCCUGCCAACCAAAGCACGGACAGAUAUGUCGGCAUGGCAGACAGCUCCUAGUCCCCAGUCUCCAUUUUCAUCCUCACUGUCAUCUGCUCAUGUUAAGUCAUGCCCUAAGAUGCGCCAUCCCUUUAUCCAUUCGGGGAGAUGGUGGUGCACAUUGCCGACAUGCAGCGGGUCCCGGCCUCUCCAGGAAAAGCAUGAUGUGCUUUCUUCUUCUCAUUGUCGUCAUGGCUUAUAAAUAAAGGGUCGCGCUUUGGCCGGCCUGAAUCGCUUAAAUUUUUUCUCCCUCUCCUGCAUGCGUUCAUUUGAAAAGGUGGCCCCGGAGGCGAACAGCCGUCUUUGGAUUUUCAGGGGAGUCGGGCUGUUGUUUGGCUGCCCACGUUGCCUAAGGACUUUGCACAAGCUUCUGUGCAAGCGCCAUGUGCCACCCAGAAUGUUUUCCAAAGGGCGUUUCAAGUCACGCCAAACGCGGCUUUUUCCACACCGUGCUCCAUGGCAUGCCCGGGGCCGCCCUCCGGUGCGCUGCUCCAGCUGCUCCUGGUUCUUUGCUGUGGGUUCCUGUGUGACACCCAAAUGUACACACGUGUCCUGCUCAUCCACGCCACGCUCGCCGUUUGUAUUUUUUAUAGGCGAACUAUUUUAUAUUUCUAGAUCCCGGUGGUUCUGUGCUGCCACAUGGUUUCCAGUCUAUGGGGACCCGACAAAUGAAUGGCCCUCCGGCAAUCUUGUCAUUAACAGCCUUCCUUGGCACUUGCAAACUCGAUGCUGUGGCUUCCUUUAUUGAUUCAGUCCAUCUCAUAUUGGGGGGACUU